GCACUACUGAAGAGUCUUAAACAGGACGAAACAGCUCUCCAGUGC
This is a non-coding RNA of Echinostoma caproni, 45 nucleotides long. NCBI's taxonomy places the organism in Eukaryota, Metazoa, Platyhelminthes, Trematoda, Plagiorchiida, Echinostomatidae. The record is from Rfam.